RNAcentral lists this microRNA precursor (171 nucleotides) under Medicago truncatula (barrel medic). RNAcentral's name for it is "MIR2619 microRNA precursor family". It matches the Rfam family "MIR2619 microRNA precursor family". Lineage: Eukaryota; Viridiplantae; Streptophyta; Magnoliopsida; Fabales; Fabaceae. The record is from Rfam by way of RNAcentral.
AAACAGCCCCCUAUGUUUUGAUUCUUUGGUAGUUUUGGACCCCCAGUCCAUUGUUGACUCGGUCAACGCUGACGUGACACCCUAAGUGAGGUGCCACAUGUCAAUUUUAUUUUUAUUUUUUUGCCUUGGGGGUCCAAAACUGCUAAAGAAUCAAAACAUAGGGGGCUGUUU